GCCGGGUGUGGUGGUGCGCACCUGUAGUCCCAGCUACUUGGAGGCUGAGGCAGGAGAAUGGCAUGAACCCGGGAGGCGGAGCUUGCAGUGAGCCGAGAUCUGGCCACUGCACUCCAGCCUGGGCGACAGAGCCAGACUCCGUCUCAA
Molecule: unclassified non-coding RNA, 147 nt
Organism: Papio anubis (olive baboon)
Lineage: Eukaryota; Metazoa; Chordata; Mammalia; Primates; Cercopithecidae
Rfam family: Metazoan signal recognition particle RNA
About the family: The signal recognition particle (SRP) is a universally conserved ribonucleoprotein. It is involved in the co-translational targeting of proteins to membranes.
Source: Ensembl